Papaver somniferum (opium poppy) is the source of this 157-nucleotide long non-coding RNA. RefSeq lists it as uncharacterized. The record is from RefSeq and is a predicted model, not a curated record. NCBI's taxonomy places the organism in Eukaryota, Viridiplantae, Streptophyta, Magnoliopsida, Ranunculales, Papaveraceae. The transcript is spliced from 3 exons.
UACUUACAAUCAGCAUAAAUCAAAGUGGAAGCAAGAUUUCUAUGAUUUUGGGAUAGUGAUCAAGAGUCUUCUUGGACCUUAUGAUAACUUUCCUGAGGCGUUAGAUUUUGUCGCCAGAUUUGACGGAUCGCACAGGAAUACAAAAUUGAUGCAAGCA